RNAcentral lists this ribosomal RNA (455 nucleotides) under uncultured bacterium. RNAcentral describes it as "bacterial SSU rRNA". It matches the Rfam family "Bacterial small subunit ribosomal RNA", at positions 340 to 786 of the family's 1533-position model. The record is from RNAcentral.
UACGGAAGGCAGCAGUGGGGAAUAUUGCACAAUGGGCGCAAGCCUGAUGCAGCCAUGCCGCAUGUAUGAAGAAGGCCUUCGGGUUGUAAAGUACUUUCAGUCGUGAGGAAGGUGUUAAGGUUAAUAACCUUAGCAAUUGACGUUAGCGACAGAAGAAGCACCGGCUAACUCCGUGCCAGCAGCCGCGGUAAUACGGAGGGUGCGAGCGUUAAUCGGAAUUACUGGGCGUAAAGGGCACGCAGGCGGUUAAUUAAGUUGGAUGUGAAAUCCCCGGGCUUAACCUGGGAAUGGCAUUCAAGACUGGUUAGCUAGAGUCUUGUAGAGGGGGUAGAAUUCCGAUGUGUAGCGGUGAAAUGCGUAGAGAUGUGGAGGAAUACCGGUGGCGAAGGCGGCCCCUGGACAAAGACUGACGCUCAUGUGCGAAAGCGUGGGGAGCGAAACAGGGAUUAGAUACC